RNAcentral lists this ribosomal RNA (253 nucleotides) under uncultured bacterium. RNAcentral's name for it is "partial 16S ribosomal RNA". It matches the Rfam family "Bacterial small subunit ribosomal RNA", at positions 524 to 776 of the family's 1533-position model. The record is from RNAcentral.
UACGUAGGGUGCAAGCGUUGUCCGGAAUUAUUGGGCGUAAAGAGCUCGUAGGCGGUUUGUCGCGUCUGCUGUGAAAACCCGAGGCUCAACCUCGGGCCUGCAGUGGGUACGGGCAGACUAGAGUGCGGUAGGGGAGAUUGGAAUUCCUGGUGUAGCGGUGGAAUGCGCAGAUAUCAGGAGGAACACCGGUGGCGAAGGCGGUUCUCUGGGCCUGUACUGACGCUGAGGAGCGAAAGCGUGGGGAGCAAACAGG